RNAcentral lists this ribosomal RNA (498 nucleotides) under uncultured Glomus. RNAcentral describes it as "SSU rRNA". It matches the Rfam family "Eukaryotic small subunit ribosomal RNA", at positions 591 to 1092 of the family's 1831-position model. Lineage: Eukaryota; Fungi; Glomeromycota; Glomeromycetes; Glomerales; Glomeraceae. The record is from RNAcentral.
CCAAUAGCGUAUAUUAAAGUUGCUGCAGUUAAAAAGCUCGUAGUUGAAUUUCGGGAUCAAUAUGUUGGUCGUGCCUUGGUACGUACUAGCUUAUUGAUUUCUUCCUUCUGACGAACCAUGAUGUCAUUAAUUUGGUGUCAUGAGGAAUCAGGACUGUUACUUUGAAAAAAUUAGAGUGUUUAAAGCAGGCUCACGCUUGAAUACAUUAGCAUGGAAUAAUGAAAUAGGACGUUUGAUUCUAUUUUGUUGGUUUCUAGGAUCGACGUAAUGAUUAAUAGGGAAAGUUGGGGGCAUUAGUAUUCAAUUGGCAGAGGUGAAAUUCUUGGAUUUAUUGAAGACUAACUACUGCGAAAGCAUUUGCCAAGGAUGUUUUCAUUAAUCAAGAACGAAAGUUAGGGGAUCGAAGACGAUCAGAUACCGUCGUAGUCUUAACCAUAAACUAUGCCGACUAGGGAUCGGAUGAUGUUAAUUUUUUAAUGACUCAUUCGGCGCCUUACG